AACGAACGCUGGCGGCAGGCCUAACACAUGCAAGUCGAACGCCCUAGCAAUAGGGAGUGGCGCACGGGUGCGUAACGCGUGGGAAUAUGCCCUUCACUACGGGACAACAUCGGGAAACUGAUGCUAAUACCGUAUAAUGACUCCGGUCCAAAGAUUUAUCGGUGAGGGAUUAGCCCGCGUUAGAUUAGCUAGUUGGUGAGGUAACGGCUCACCAAGGCAACGAUCUAUAGCUGGUCUGAGAGGAUGAUCAGCCACACUGGAACUGAGACACGGUCCAGACUCCUACGGGAGGCAGCAGUGAGGAAUAUUGGACAAUGGGGGAAACCCUGAUCCAGCCAUGCCGCGUGAGUGAAGAAGGCCUUCGGGUUGUAAAGCUCUUUUAGAUGUGAAGAUAAUGACGGUAGCAUCAGAAAAAGCCCCGGCUAAAUUCGUGCCAGCCGCCGCCGUAA
RNAcentral lists this ribosomal RNA (449 nucleotides) under uncultured bacterium. Its description in RNAcentral is "partial 16S ribosomal RNA". It matches the Rfam family "Bacterial small subunit ribosomal RNA", at positions 29 to 523 of the family's 1533-position model. The record is from RNAcentral.